This 330-nucleotide ribosomal RNA is filed under the name Escherichia coli. RNAcentral describes it as "bacterial SSU rRNA". It matches the Rfam family "Bacterial small subunit ribosomal RNA", at positions 1089 to 1427 of the family's 1533-position model. Lineage: Bacteria; Pseudomonadati; Pseudomonadota; Gammaproteobacteria; Enterobacterales; Enterobacteriaceae. The record is from RNAcentral.
GCAACGAGCGCAACCUUUAUCCUUUUUGCCAGCGGUCCGGCCGGGAACUCAAAGGAGACUGCCAGUGAUAAACUGGAGGAAGGUGGGGAUGACGUCAAGUCAUCAUGGCCCUUACGACCAGGGCUACACACGUGCUACAAUGGCGCAUACAAAGAGAAGCGACCUCGCGAGAGCAAGCGGACCUCAUAAAGUGCGUCGUAGUCCGGAUUGGAGUCUGCAACUCGACUCCAUGAAGUCGGAAUCGCUAGUAAUCGUGGAUCAGAAGGCCACGGUGAAUACGUUCCCGGGCCUUGUACACACCUCCCGCACACCAGGGAGUGGUGCAAAAGA